ACCCGUGUAGCCUAAAUGGAUAAGGCAUCGGUCUCCUAAACCAAAGGAUGCGGGUUCGAGUCCUGCCACGGGUG
Molecule: transfer RNA, 74 nt
Organism: Caenorhabditis elegans
Lineage: Eukaryota; Metazoa; Nematoda; Chromadorea; Rhabditida; Rhabditidae
Source: Ensembl